RNAcentral lists this transfer RNA (109 nucleotides) under Candidatus Woesearchaeota archaeon. Its description in RNAcentral is "tRNA-Ile". It matches the Rfam family "tRNA". From Rfam's summary of the family: Transfer RNA (tRNA) molecules are approximately 80 nucleotides in length. The record is from RNAcentral. Lineage: Archaea; Nanobdellati; Candidatus Woesearchaeota.
GGGCCCGUAGCUUAGCCUGGACCACUCCCUGACACUGUGUUAGGAGUGAGGGCAAUGGAGCGCUCGACUGAUAAUCGAGAGGUCUCGUGUUCGAAUCACGACGGGCCCA